This 1659-nucleotide ribosomal RNA is filed under the name Triticum aestivum (bread wheat). RNAcentral describes it as "partial small subunit ribosomal RNA". The record is from RNAcentral. Lineage: Eukaryota; Viridiplantae; Streptophyta; Magnoliopsida; Poales; Poaceae.
AUGGCGCUUGAGAGCACGGCCAAGGUGGUGCUGGGAUGCGUGGCCUUCUCCAUCUUCUGGGUGCUGGCCGUCUUCCCGUCCGUGCCCUUCAUGCCGGUGGGCCGGACGGCGGGGUCUCUGCUGGGCGCCAUGCUCAUGGUGCUCUUCCGCGUCAUGACGCCCGAGCAGGCCUACGCCGCCAUCGACCUCCCCAUCCUCGGCCUCCUCUUCGGCACCAUGGUCGUCAGCAUCUUCCUGGAGCGCGCCGACAUGUUCCAGUACCUCGGCAGCAUGCUCUCCUGGAAGAGCCGCGGCAGCAAGGACCUCCUCUUCCGCGUCUGCCUCGUCUCCGCCGUCGCCAGCGCGCUCUUCACCAACGACACCACCUGCGUCGUGCUCACCGAGUUCAUCCUCAAGGUGGCCCGGCAGAACAACCUGCCCCCGCAGCCCUUCCUCCUCGCCCUCGCCUCCAGCUCCAACAUCGGCUCCUCCGCCACGCCCAUCGGCAACCCGCAGAACCUCGUCAUCGCCGUCACCAGCGGCAUCUCCUUCGGCUCCUUCCUCUUCGGCAUCUUCCCGGCCAUGAUCGUCGGAGUCAUAACCAACACCUGCAUCCUCCUCUGUUACUUCUGGAAGCACCUCUCCGUCGACAAGGAGCGGGACCAAGAGUCGGCCGGGGGGCAGGACGUCGUUGUGGCCGACGACGAGGUCACCUCGCACCGGUUCACGCCCGCGCGGAUGUCGCGCGCCAACUCCGUAAACGGCGACGCCGACUACAUGAACGAGCCCAUCCGCAGGAGCGACAGCAUGAGCAGGAGCAAGAGCUACAACUCCGAGGGCGACCGCGACAUCCAGGUCGCCAUCAGGUCGGUGCGCGCGUCCAGCAUGUCGCAGGAGAUGGUGGAGGUGUCCACGGUGUGCGACCGGCGCGACGAUGGCCCCCGGAAGGUGACCAGGACGACCAGCCGCCAGCGCAGCGUCAUCAUCGAGGACGCGCCCGAGCAUAUCUUCGACGGCGACGAGAAGGAGAAGCCGCUCGAGGAGGAGGUGGUGAAGCAGAAGAAGUGGAAGGUACUCGCGUGGAAGACCGCCGUGUACCUCACGACGCUCGGGAUGCUCGUCUCGCUCCUCAUGGGGCUCAACAUGUCCUGGACCGCCAUCACCGCCGCCCUCGUCCUCCUGGCGCUCGAUUUCACCGACGCACAAGCUUGCCUAGAGAAGGUAUCGUACUCGCUGUUGAUCUUCUUCUGCGGGAUGUUCAUAACGGUGGAUGGCUUCAACAGAACUGGCAUACCCAACGCGCUGUGGGAGCUGGUGGAGCCGCACGCGAGGAUCGACAGCGCCAAAGGAAUCGCGCUUCUUGCCGUUGUGAUUCUUGUUCUUUCAAAUGUUGCCUCAAAUGUUCCAACCGUGCUGCUUCUCGGCACAAGAGUGGCAGCAUCCGCUGGUGCCAUCUCACCGGCUUCAGAGAAGAAAGCCUGGCUCAUACUAGCUUGGGUCAGUACGGUGGCGGGCAACCUCACCCUGCUGGGCUCAGCUGCGAACCUCAUCGUCUGUGAGCAGGCGCGGCGGGCGCAGUUCCAUGGCUACAACCUCACCUUCUGGAGCCACCUUCGUUUCGGCGUGCCGUCGACGAUCAUCGUCACCGCUAUUGGCCUCAUUAUCGUCGUUAGCUACUGA